Molecule: ribosomal RNA, 446 nt
Filed under: uncultured bacterium
Lineage: Bacteria
Description: partial 16S ribosomal RNA
Rfam family: Bacterial small subunit ribosomal RNA
Source: RNAcentral
CCUACGGGAGGCAGCAGUCGAGAAUCAUUCACAAUGGGGGAAACCCUGAUGGUGCGACGCCGCGUGGGGGAAUGAAGGUCUUCGGAUUGUAAACCCCUGUCAUGUGGGAGCAAAUUAAAAAGAUAGUACCACAAGAGGAAGAGACGGCUAACUCUGUGCCAGCAGCCGCGGUAAUACAGAGGUCUCAAGCGUUGUGCGGAAUCACUGGGCGUAAAGCGUGCGUAGGCUGUUUCGUAAGUCGUGUGUGAAAGGCGCGGGCUCAACCCGCGGACGGCACAUGAUACUGCGAGACUAGAGUGAUGGAGGGGGAAGCGGAAUUCUCGGUGUAGCAGUGAAAUGCGUAGAUAUCGAGAGGAACACUCGUGGCGAAGGCGGGUUCCUGGACAUUAACUGACGCUGAGGCACGAAGGCCAGGGGAGCGAAAGGGAUUAGAUACCCGAGUAGUC